RNAcentral lists this ribosomal RNA (1591 nucleotides) under metagenome. RNAcentral's name for it is "bacterial LSU rRNA". It matches the Rfam family "Bacterial large subunit ribosomal RNA", at positions 1296 to 2910 of the family's 2925-position model. The record is from RNAcentral.
UUAGGAAUAAGUAACGAUAAUGAGGGUUAGAUUCCCUCCCGCUGUAAGACCAAGGUUUCCCGGGCAAUGCCAAUCAGCCCGGGGUCAGUCGGGUCCUAAGUCUAAGCCGAACGGCGAUGGCGAUGGCAGAGACGGUUAAUAUUCCGUCACUGCCGCAUGGGGCGACGUGGAGACGGAGCAGUGAAACCACCGCGGGGCGACGGAAGUCCCCGUUGAAGAGUGUAGGUGUUGAGGAUGGCAGGCAAAUCCACCGUCCGAGCUGAACUUGAUAGUAUGGAGUCUUCUUCGGAAGAAUCCAAUAGUGUGGGUAAUCAUACUCCCGAGAAAAUCCGCUAAGCUUAACCCAUGCGGCACCCGUACCGCAAACGGACACACGUGGUCGAGUAGAACAUACUGAGGCGUUGAGAGAUUCAUGGUUAAGGAACUAGGCAAAUUGACCCUGUAACUUCGGGAUAAAGGGUCCUCGUGAAUAGUGAGGCGCAGAGAAUAGGUCCAGGCAACUGUUUAACAAAAACACAGGGCUGUGCAAACUCGAAAGAUGACGUAUACAGCCUGACACCUGCCCGGUGCCGCAAGGUUAAGAGGAGAUGUCACUCGCAAGAGGAAGCAUUGAAUUGAAGCCCCGGUAAACGGCGGCCGUAACCAUAACGGUCCUAAGGUAGCGAAAUUCCUUGUCGGGUAAGCUCCGACCUGCACGAAUGGUGUAAUGAUCCGGACGCUGUCUCAACCAUGAGCUCAGUGAAAUUGUAGUAUCGGUGAAGAUGCCGAUUACCCGCGAUGGGACGAAAAGACCCCGUGAACCUUUACUACAGCUUAGCAUUGACCUUGGUCAUCCGAUGUGUAGGAUAGGCCGGAGGCUUCGAAGCGGGAGCGCCAGCUUUCGUGGAGCCAUCCUUGAAAUACGGCCCUUUGGCUGUCUGAGGUCUAACGCGUGAUACGCGGACACUGCUUGGUGGGUAGUUUGACUGGGGUGGUCGCCUCCAAAAGCGUAACGGAGGCUUCCAAAGGUGCCCUCGGGUCGAUUGGUAACCGACCUCAAAGAGUGCAAUGGCAUAAGGGCGCUUGACUGGGAGGCAGACAUGCCGAGCAGGCAGGAAACUGGGGCAUAGUGAUCCGGCGGAUGUGUAUGGAAACUCCGUCGCUCAAAGGAUAAAAGGUACUCCGGGGAUAACAGGCUGAUCCCCCCCAAGAGCUCAUAUCGACGGGGUGGUUUGGCACCUCGAUGUCGGCUCGUCACAUCCUGGGGCUGGAGAAGGUCCCAAGGGUUGGGCUGUUCGCCCAUUAAAGUGGCACGCGAGCUGGGUUCAGAACGUCGUGAGACAGUUCGGUCUCUAUCUAUCGUGGGCGUGGGAGUUUUGAGUGGUGCCGUCACUAGUACGAGAGGACCGUGAUGGACAGACCUCCGGUUUACCAGUUGUGCCGCCAGGCGCACCGCUGGGUAUCUGAGUCUGGAUUGGAUAAGCGCUGAAAGCAUCUAAGUGCAAAGCCAGCCGCAAGAUGAGAACUCCAUUGAGGGUCGUCAGAGACGAUGACGUUGAUAGGAUGCAGGUGUAAAGACAGCGAUGUCAAAGCCGAGCAUUACUAAUUGCCC